RNAcentral lists this ribosomal RNA (301 nucleotides) under uncultured bacterium. RNAcentral's name for it is "partial 16S ribosomal RNA". It matches the Rfam family "Bacterial small subunit ribosomal RNA", at positions 509 to 809 of the family's 1533-position model. The record is from RNAcentral.
CAGUAGCCGCGGUAACACGAAGGGUGCAAGCGUUACUCGGAAUUACUGGGCGUAAAGCGUGCGUAGGUGGUGGUUUAAGUCCGUUGUGAAAGCCCUGGGCUCAACCUGGGAAUUGCAGUGGAUACUGGGUCACUAGAGUGUGGUAGAGGAUAGUGGAAUUUCCGGUGUAGCAGUGAAAUGCGUAGAGAUCGGAAGGAACAUCUGUGGCGAAGGCGACUAUCUGGGCCAACACUGACACUGAGGCACGAAAGCGUGGGGAGCAAACAGGAUUAGAUACCCGGGUAGUCCCUGUCUCUUAUAU